GCUCCAGUAGCGUAUACUAAUGUUGCUGCAGUUAAAAAGCUCGUAGUUGGAUUUCUGGUGGUUGAUUGGUCCGCUGUUUUUGCAGAUGAGUAUCAUUUUUCAACUAUCAUCCUAACUGGUUUCUCGGGUUUCCGGGUUCUCAGUUUCUUUUACUUUGAAAAAAUUAGAGUGUUUAAAGCAGGCUUGCGCAAUGAAUACAU
RNAcentral lists this ribosomal RNA (200 nucleotides) under uncultured eukaryote. Its description in RNAcentral is "partial 18S ribosomal RNA". It matches the Rfam family "Eukaryotic small subunit ribosomal RNA", at positions 588 to 804 of the family's 1831-position model. The record is from RNAcentral.